This is a non-coding RNA of Setomelanomma holmii, 86 nucleotides long. NCBI's taxonomy places the organism in Eukaryota, Fungi, Ascomycota, Dothideomycetes, Pleosporales, Phaeosphaeriaceae. The record is from the annotation of a GenBank genome assembly.
GCGAGCGUAGUCUAGUGGUUAUGAUGUCUGCUUUACAUUACAAUGCAAAGCGCAGAAGGUCGGGAGUUCGAUCCUCCCCGCUCGUA